UCAAAAUGCUCUAUCGCCUAAAGUCUUUAGUGAUUUCCCUGACGGAACAGGGAAAUCACUGAAGACUUUUGGCGAUAUAUCAUUUUGUAUGGCAG
This 95-nucleotide microRNA precursor is filed under the name Paramuricea clavata. Lineage: Eukaryota; Metazoa; Cnidaria; Anthozoa; Malacalcyonacea; Plexauridae. The record is from RNAcentral.